This 73-nucleotide transfer RNA is filed under the name Agrilus planipennis (emerald ash borer). It matches the Rfam family "tRNA". From Rfam's summary of the family: Transfer RNA (tRNA) molecules are approximately 80 nucleotides in length. The record is from Rfam by way of RNAcentral. Lineage: Eukaryota; Metazoa; Arthropoda; Insecta; Coleoptera; Buprestidae.
CCUCUCGUGGCUUGGUGGGGAGAGUCUUGGUGCUUAAAGCCAGGAGUCCCGGGUUCAAUUCCCGGCGAGGGUA